RNAcentral lists this ribosomal RNA (506 nucleotides) under uncultured bacterium. RNAcentral's name for it is "partial 16S ribosomal RNA". It matches the Rfam family "Bacterial small subunit ribosomal RNA", at positions 30 to 523 of the family's 1533-position model. The record is from RNAcentral.
AGUGAACGCUGGCGGUAGGCCUAACACAUGCAAGUCGAACGGCAGCACAGGAGAGCUUGCUCUCUGGGUGGCGAGUGGCGGACGGGUGAGGAAUACAUCGGAAUCUACUCUGUCGUGGGGGAUAACGUAGGGAAACUUACGCUAAUACCGCAUACGACCUACGGGUGAAAGCAGGGGACCUUCGGGCCUUGCGCGAUUGAAUGAGCCGAUGUCGGAUUAGCUAGUGGGCGGGGUAAAGGCCCACCAAGGCGACGAUCCGUAGCUGGUCUGAAAGGAGGAUCAGCCACAUUGGCACUGAGACACGGUCCAGACUCCUACGGGAGGCAGCAGGGGGGGAUAUUGGACGCUGGGCGAGAGGCUGAUCCAGCCAGUCAGCGUGGGUGAAGAAGGACGUCGGGUUGUAAAGCCCUUUUGUUGGGACAGAAAUCCAGCUGGCUAAUACCCGGUUGGGAUGACGGUACGCACAGAAUAAGCACCGGCUAACUUCGUGCCAGCCGCCGCGGUAA